GACGAACGCUGGCGGCGUGCUUAACACAUGCAAGUCGAACGGAAAGACCCUGCUUUUGUGGGGUUCUCGAGAGGCGAACGGGUGAGUAAAACGUGUGUAACCUGUCCCUGACUUUCGGAUAACUCCAGGAAACUCCGGCUAAAAUCCGGUAGGAGCUCCUGCUGCACGGUGGGCGUUGGAGAGUUUCGGCUGUUGGGGCUGUUCUCGCGGCUUAUCAGCUUGUUGGUGGGGUAGUGGCUUACCAAGCCUUUGAAGGGUAGCCGGCCUGUGAGGGUGACCGGCCACAUUGCGACUGAGAUACGGCGCAGACUCAUACGGGAGGCAGCGGUGGGGAAUAUUGCACAAUGGGCGGAAGCCUGAUACGGCAGCGCCGCGUGCGGGAUAACGGCCUUCGGGUUGUGAACAGCUUUAGCCUGUGACGAGGCGUUAAUGACGGUAAUGGGUAAAGAAGCCCCGGCUAACUACGUG
Molecule: ribosomal RNA, 468 nt
Filed under: uncultured bacterium
Lineage: Bacteria
Description: partial 16S ribosomal RNA
Rfam family: Bacterial small subunit ribosomal RNA
Source: RNAcentral